UGUUGGGUCGUCCCGACGCCCACCGCCUUCGGUCAGUGCAAACAAAUCUCGUGAUAAAUAGCGUCGGUGUGGGUCGCGGACAGUUGCGGUCAAGCUGUUAGCGUGACUAGAAGGUCCACGAAGCGGUUUUUAACUUAAGGGUUAAAACGACCCCCUCGCGGUCGGAAAGUUUUCGAAUGUCACAAGGUGAAAGCGAUUAUAAGACAUCGAUAAAUUUUAAUAAAGUGAUUUUUUUUUUUCGUCGACCAAUACGAAUGUAAAUUGGUGCGCGGUGAACUUAAACGGUUGAGGAUGAGGCAUAAAGCGACCCAUUAAGCGACCAUAAUGGCAGAAAACGUCAAGGUUAUAGUAAGAUGUCGGCCCAUGAACAAGAGAGAAACAGAAAACAAUUGCAAGUGUGUUAUCAAAAUACAUAACCCAUCGGUAGAAACCUGGGACCCGGGAGAGGGCACAACCUUCCCUAAAACGUUCACAUUCGACUCCACAUACGACCAAAAUUCAUCCACGGAAGCGAUUUAUAAUGACAUUUGUUACCCACUAGUGGAGAGCGUCCUAGAGGGUUAUAACGCAACGAUAUUCGUAUAUGGACAAACCGGUUGCGGCAAGUCGUUUACCAUGGAAGGAAUUCCCAGUCAGAAAGGGGUGAUCUCCCGGGCUUUCGAGCACUUGUUCGAAGCCAUUUCAGUCACCAGUGGGGUCAAAUAUCUCGCUUUGGUUAGCUAUUUGGAAAUUUAUAAUGAGCAAAUUAGGGAUUUAUUGGUGCCAAAUGACAAGAUGACCAACGGUGUUACGCUAUCCUUGAAAGAGACACCUACAGAGGGCGUAACCGUUCCAGGCCUCACCCAACAUCCUAUACACAACUCCCAAGAAGCCGAACAUUACCUCAACGUCGGUUCGAAAAACCGCAUGAUCGGCGCAACCCUUAUGAACCAAAACAGCUCCAGAAGCCACAGCAUUUUCACCAUCAGCAUCGAACAGUUGAACAACGUCAACAACAACCAGAGCAUCCGAAAAGGUACUAUAUUGAAAAACAAAAAUUGGGAAAACUCAAUUUUGUUUUUUGCAGGAAAAUUAAAUCUAGUCGACUUGGCGGGAUCAGAACGUCAAACCAAGACGGGAGCCACCGGGGAUCGACUGAAAGAAGCCACCAAAAUCAAUUUAUCCUUAAGCGCCCUCGGGAACGUCAUUUCAGCCCUGGUGGACGGAAAAGCCAAACACAUCCCUUAUAGGGACUCCAAGCUCACCAGACUGUUACAGGACUCUUUGGGGGGCAACACGCGCACCCUAAUGAUAGCCUGCAUCAGUCCAGCUGAUAGGGAUUAUAUGGAAACCCUGUCCACCCUAAGAUACGCCAAUAGGGCCAAAAACAUCAGCAACAAACCGAAAGUCAACGAGGACCCCAAAGACACGAUUCUGAGGCAGUACCAAGAGGAAAUCGAGCGUCUCAAGGCACUUUUGAGUACCCGACAAGAGGGCGACAUCAAAAUCGUGGACUUGGAAGAGAGUGAGGUGAACAAAAAUGUGGUUUCCAGAAAUGAGGAGUUGGGCGUGAGGAGGGACAAGCUGCUGCAAGAGUACCAGAAAGAGAUGGAUAAGUUGAGGAAUUUACAUGAGAGUGAGAAGAACCAAAAGGAAACUGUCCUGAAGCAAAUCCAAGCGAUCAAGCUGGAAUACGAAGAGAACAUUAGAAGAUUGAACGAGGAGAAGUUGAAUAAAGAGGUGACGUCCACCGAUGAGGUGAUGAGGAGGAUAGAGGAGCUUAAGAAGGCCCUGAUUGGCGGUGAGAAGGCUUAUGAUAAGGAGCUGUCCGAGAGGAGGUUGAGAAAAAAGAGGGCUGCGGAGGAGAGGGCCAAUUUAAUAGCUCACUUGUUGGCCAAAAUCGACAUGAACGAGGACAGAGAAACCCUCCAGAACCAAUACAAAGACAUCAGCCAGGAACUGAACCUAAAAACCGAAAUACUGAGAAAAUACCGACAUAAAGUGAAAAUGUUAGAAAAGGAAAUCACUGACCUCCAAGGUGAGUUCCAACAGGAGCGUGAGGACUAUUUGGAAACCGUGAGGAGGCAGGAGAAGAACCUCAAAUUACUCAGCCAGAUAAACGACAAGUUAGUCGGGACUUUAAAGAAGGAUUGUAACUAUACGGACUUGGAGGCUAUAAAGGACCAAGCAGUAUGGUUAGAAGAGAGUCAAAAGUUUAAACUUCCCGAUUUGGUGAUUCCGCGUACUAAAUUGCCACCAGCCGACGAAUAAUGCCAACCCUCAAGAUAUUAUAGCGAGCUAUUUUCAACCAGCGACCAAAAGGGCCACGGAGCUCCUAAAUCAGUCGAAAUCCGGAACGGUCGAUCCCCAUAAGGUUUUUAACACGUGGAGAGGCCACCGUAACUUUCCAGAU
Molecule: unclassified non-coding RNA, 2392 nt
Filed under: Anthonomus grandis grandis
Lineage: Eukaryota; Metazoa; Arthropoda; Insecta; Coleoptera; Curculionidae
Description: osmotic avoidance abnormal protein 3-like
Source: RNAcentral